AUUGAACGCUGGCGGCAGGCCUAACACAUGCAAGUCGAACGAGUGGCGGACUGGUGAGUAAUGUCUGGGCAACUGCCCGAUGGGGGGGGAUAACUACUGGAAACGGUAGCUACUACCGCAUACCAUCGGAUGAGCCCAGAUGGGAUUAGCUAGUAGGGGGGGUAACGGCUCACCUAGGCGACGAUCCCUAGCUGGCCUGAGAGGAUGACCAGCCACACUGGAACUGAGACACGGGCCAGACUCCGACGGGAGGCAGCAGUGGGGAAUAUUGCACAAUGGGCGAAAGCCUGAUGCAGCCAUGCCGCGUGUAUGAAGAAGGCCUUCGGGUUGUAAAGGACUGUCAGCGAGGAGGCGUUACUCACAGAAGAAGCACCGGCUAACUCCGUGCCAGCAGCCGCGGUAAUUC
RNAcentral lists this ribosomal RNA (406 nucleotides) under uncultured bacterium. RNAcentral's name for it is "partial 16S ribosomal RNA". It matches the Rfam family "Bacterial small subunit ribosomal RNA", at positions 29 to 526 of the family's 1533-position model. The record is from RNAcentral.